CAAAAAUAGCCGAGAGAGAGAGAGAGAGUGUGUGUGGAGAGAAGGUGAUUUCGAAGGAGACCAAGGAGAAGAAAGCUUGAAUCAAGAGUUUGGAACUUGUAUAAGCUUGGUUUUCAAGAUUUCUUCAAGAUUGAGAUUUGAGCUUGCAUUGAAGUGUGGAGAUAGGAGGAGAGGUGGUUGAGCUAGGGUUUGAAGAUUUGGGGCAAGGUGAGUGAUUUACCUUGAAAUUAUGAGAUAACUAUAAGUAGUUGGCUUGGAAAGUAACAAUUUUGAGAUUGAAAUUGAAUUGUAAAUGUGUGUAUGGUUUAGGUUGAUUGAGCCUGGAGGAAUUGUGGUAUUUAGCCUAAACGAGGUAGGGAUUUUCUUAACCCUUAAUCUCAAAACACUAUUGGCUACGCGAAUUGUGUUAAAUUCAUUAGUUUCUGCCUUUUUGGUCAAGGGGAAACAAACCCUAGUUUGUAUGUUAUUGUGAACUCAAAUUUGCUAUAUUGUGUGUUUGAUGUUGAAUGCAUUACCCAUGGACACUCGAUCAUCUAUCGAGUAGUCGAUGCUCUUGAUCACAUGUUUAAAGAAAUUGCGCGCAAUAAAUUUAGUUGCAUAACAUUCAUGUGUGAUGUUGCAUUUGUUACAUGGUGGAAGUGGGGAAUUGGAUUUUGGUAUGUACGUCAACGUGUACUAGUGGUUCCGGUUAUUUGGCUCUAGUGACACGGUUGAUGGUACUUGUAUGAACAUGCACUAGUGGUUCAGGUUAAUUGGCUCUAGUGGCAUGUUAUGGAGUAUUUGGGAGAGCAUGUGCUAGUGGUUCUGGUUAAUUGGCUCUGGCGACAUGGCUCGGUUAGAUGUAUGGAUUGCAUUUGUUUGACAACAUGGCAUAUUGUUGCAUUGCGUUAUUUCUUUAUAAUAUUCUGGCCUGAUUUCUUAUUUUAGACUCCUAUUUGAUAUCCCUACUGAGCCUCCUGCUCACCGUUUUAUUUUCCCC
This is a long non-coding RNA of Tripterygium wilfordii, 979 nucleotides long. RefSeq lists it as uncharacterized. NCBI's taxonomy places the organism in Eukaryota, Viridiplantae, Streptophyta, Magnoliopsida, Celastrales, Celastraceae. The transcript has 2 exons. The record is from RefSeq and is a predicted model, not a curated record.